ACUCUGCUCUCUUCAUUUCCAAACUGCUGCAAAUGCCUAAGCUGAAGGAAAAUUUGUACAUUUCUGCAAGUACCAGACUUUGUAGGCGGCCCAGAGAUAAAAGCAAAUGAUGCAUCAUCAUUCAAAAAGGUGUGAUAAGUUUGGGGAUUUUUCAUUGCUGUCUUCCUUUCCCUCCAGUGAUUAGAGACAAACAUUUCAUAGAAUAGGCUGAUGACUGGUGGUUGGACAGAGAUCAAGCAAAUCUAAGGCUGUUUCUUUUGAGAAGCAGAUUUCUAGCCACUAGAACACCUAUUUGAAGCUGCAGCUGCACACCUUUCUCUGUCUUUAUUUCAGCUGGUGUAGUUAGGUUAUUUUAGUGAAUCACUUGCUAAUUUUCUACAGUACAAUUGCAUGGUAGAAAAUAUUUUUAGAGAGACAUGACCUCUCGGAAGCUCGUGAGUGUAGCUUACGACCAGUCUGUUCCUGUGACACAUGAAAUACAUCCUAAUCCGUUAAGGUCAGAUGGACUGGACACUUGCUCACAAGGGCAAGGUCUGCAGCCAAAAGAAUUUAUACUGAUUAAGUGCUUUUUUAGAACUCAUUGCAUGAAUUUCUAACCUUCAAAUAAGUCACCCCUUGGGAGAUCACUGAUGACACAGCCACUUGUCUCAAAAUUCAGCGGCUUGAUCUUUAUUGAACUUGAUGAGCAAACAUUUAAAUGAUAAUUGAGACACUAAUUAAAUGCGGUGCCUGUUCUCCCGGUUGAGAAUUGAAAGGAAAGACUAAAUUAUUUAAUGACAAUUUGGGGUAUUGCAGGUCCAGAUCUUUAGCAGACGUGGAAGAAAGAAGGGUUUGUUCAGAUGUUUGAACUUGUUGCUGCUGCUGCGAGCGCUCAGAACGUCGCAGUUGAUCCCCUGACUUUACAAAGGCAUAAAACAGGAUCCCAGUCACCACAGCUUGCUGCUGAGUGCCAGGACAUUAUAUUUACUCUGGUGACAAUUCCUCCCAGUGCAGUCGCGUAUCACUGCUACUCUGUCCAGGAAGCAGAAGAGUGAAACACGUGCUUGGCACUUCCACAGGGAUCUCUGAGUGCAAAGAGACAAAGAUGAAAACCAGCUGAUAGGAUACAGGCAAUGAUUACAGAGGAAAUACUGGAUGUCAGAAGAGGGGAGGGAAGCAAUGACAAGGUCCAGAACACCUUUGGGUGCUGCAACCACCUGAAACCUCCUGAAAUCGCUCGCCACUGCUCAAACCACUUUUAAUAAACAGGUAACUAAAAUUCAAGCACUUCCUUUGUAAAGCCUUUUGGUUUCAGAAGAGUGAAUCACUGUCUGACAGUUCGGUGGGAGGUUAUUCAUCCAGGAUUGCUUCACUCUUUUGUGGAGGUGCUUGGUGAGCUGCUCUGCACGCUGGCAGGCUGCUCCAGCCAGGCAUUUACUCCUACAAGUGCCACCUGCUCUGUUAUAAUCCUUGCCUCGCUGAAGUCGCCAGCAUCUUUCUGCUUGAUCUGCAGGGAAGCUCCCUCGUGUUGAACUUGGCUGCUCUUUUACGAGAGUAAGGGUUUGAGGAGCUGUUUGGCUCAGUAGCACUUGGCAACCUCAGGAAGCGCAGGCGUUCAGCUGGGCAGUGGACGCACGUUCGUUCGAGGGGGGCUGCUGUGUGCCCCACCCUGCAGUGUCAGCUCACAGCGUGCCUGUGCCUCGGAGGCACUCGCUGUGCAGCCGACACAGCCCUCAGGCAUCAGGCAGCUGGGGAAAGUGCCACAGAAGCUUUAGCAAGAGAACACAUAAUAGCCAAAGUCGAAGGGCGAAUUGAGAUAUAGUGGGGGAGGCAGCUAUUAUGUUCCAGCUCUCUUUAAAAACAGUUCUGAGACGUGUAAGGUAUUGUGUUGUGUUUGUUGCUGGAUUUAAGACCGCUGGCUGCCAGGCAGUGAAGGUCACUCCGUAUUUCCUUCUUUAAGGCAAGUUGCUGCUGUUUAUAUUAACAAGAGAGCAGCAGUGCUGGCUAAAUCCUGGCAUGUUAACCUGCAUCUCUCCUGGGGAGCAGGUCUCCGACGCGCUCCCUCAGGACCUGUAUAGUUGGAGAGUUGUAUAUCUUGUAGGUGUCAAGCCCAAUCAGAGCUUCCUUGCCAGGAUGUGUUAAGGCAGCUGUCUGCAAUUUGUGUUACAGUGUGCAUCUCUGCCAGUAAACUACUUUUGCUCUCCCUUGUGCUGUGUCUGCCGUCUGCAGGGCUGCUGGGAGAGCUGCCAGAGGGAGAGAGAGCAACUGCAUGCACAAAGGUGGCUGGGUGGCACCUCUUGUAAUCUGUGUUCUGCACAAUGUAUUGAUUGACUUUGUGGAUGGAUCCCAGGGGCUGAACACAAACAGCAUGUACCAGAGCAUGACAUUUUAAUCAGAGACAGGUUUAACUACUGGGAGCAGCUCGGGUAAUGUCUACUUUAAAAAAAAAAAAAAAAAAAUUAAAGAAAAUUGCACAAAAGAACAAAAAAAG
This is a long non-coding RNA of Empidonax traillii (willow flycatcher), 2470 nucleotides long. RefSeq lists it as uncharacterized. NCBI's taxonomy places the organism in Eukaryota, Metazoa, Chordata, Aves, Passeriformes, Tyrannidae. The transcript is spliced from 3 exons. The record is from RefSeq and is a predicted model, not a curated record.